UACGGAGGGGGCUAGCGUUGUUCGGAAUUACUGGGCGUAAAGCGCACGUAGGCGGCUUUGUAAGUUAGAGGUGAAAGCCCGGGGCUCAACUCCGGAAUUGCCUUUAAGACUGCAUCGCUUGAGUUGUGGAGAGGUAAGUGGAAUUCCGAGUGUAGAGGUGAAAUUCGUAGAUAUUCGGAAGAACACCAGUGGCGAAGGCGACUUACUGGACACAUACUGACGCUGAGGUGCGAAAGCGUGGGGAGCAAACAGGG
This 254-nucleotide ribosomal RNA is filed under the name uncultured bacterium. Its description in RNAcentral is "partial 16S ribosomal RNA". It matches the Rfam family "Bacterial small subunit ribosomal RNA", at positions 524 to 777 of the family's 1533-position model. The record is from RNAcentral.